AAACUGAAGAAGACUUAACUCGCGUUGAUGGAUAUCUAAAUACAGAGAAAAAUUUUAAUGCUGCGAUGAAUGAACUUUCAAAAAUUGGUGGGAGUUCCAUAUAUAAUUUUAUACAAAGAGCUUUGCAAAUGCUGAUAACAAAUAAUCUUGCAGCAACCUAUAGCUGGUUAGGGAGACGUGCCAAAAAAAUAUUCAACAAAUUAAAAUUAGCGGAUUUGAUAAUUGGUUCUGCUAAGAAAAGUAUUUCAAAUGCGACUAACAAAGAUUGCGAAGAAGCAAUUAAAAAAUGGCUAAGGAGGGCAAAAGAACGCAGCAAUAAUAAUAAAAUUAACCACGGAGAAAAUAUUGAAGAGAAUCUCGUCAGAGACGAGAAUAUUGAUGAUUAAUUUUAUCCUGUCAGCUCAUGUGUUCGCGUUAAUAUACACGGUCGGUCUCUUGCGCGUUCCGCGUGACGCGUGAACUUGGCACGAGACACGACCGUGUCUCUUGAUUCUUUAAUUUUUUAAUUUAGUUUUUAUUUAUGAGUUUAUUUUAUAAAGUUUAUUUUAUUU
Non-coding RNA from Linepithema humile (Argentine ant), 551 nucleotides. The record is from RefSeq and is a predicted model, not a curated record. Lineage: Eukaryota; Metazoa; Arthropoda; Insecta; Hymenoptera; Formicidae.